CGGGACGGCUCAUUUGUUCCACAAUGGUCCCUGCACUCGUCCCGUGUGUUCUGCCCUGUUCAAGGAGCUGGGGAGACGGAAGUGAGAGAACAAGUGUAGAGCCAGGCAAGGCGGCGCACGUCUAUCAACCCUGCACGCAGGAGGCUGAGGCAGGAGGAUCGCCUCUAGUUCAAGGCCAGCCUGGGCUACAGGGUAAAUUCAAGGCCAGCCUGAACUGCAUAUUGAGACUUUGUUUCAAAAAAAAAAGAAAGAAAGAAACAUCCUCAUGGCCCGAGGACCGCGGGGCUCCCUGUAGGCCCCGGCAGCCCGAGGAGCUCUGAAAGGGCGCUUUUAUGCGAGUCCCAGGCCAGACUGCUGGGAAGCCGGUGGCCGGGGCGGCCCACAGGGCCAGGCAGAGCCACCGCCCAGGCUCCUGGGGCUGCAGACACAGAGAGAGUCCGGGACAAAGGGGCACCCGGGGGAGCGGCCAGCCCGGGCCUGCCCCCAGGAAGACAAGAAGACUACACAGGCCGCCCCGCAAUCUGCUCACUCGAUCGCAGCAGUCAAUGACACGGCCCUUUGUGCGGCCCCUGCCCCGUGGGAGCAAGGAGGCAGUGGAAAGGAGCUGCCCGGCAGCCUGGAGAGAGAUGGGGAGCAGAGACGUCCAGGAGGCUGAUGGUCACCGAGCCGCCGCUGCAGCCAGCCCCGGUGAAGGUGUUCACGGCAGCAAUGAUGUUCCUGAGCCUCUGUACGACCCGCUGUGCCCAGGAAGGGCAGCACCCACUCCUAGGUGUGGACACAGAGGCCCAGAGAGGUUAAACGACCUGCCCGAAGCCACCCAGCUGGUGAGAGCCAAUGCCAAGAUUCGAGCCCAGGCCCUGUCGGACCACGACAGCGCUGUCCUGGCUGUGCCACCUGGGGUGUAA
RNAcentral lists this long non-coding RNA (905 nucleotides) under Chinchilla lanigera (long-tailed chinchilla). Its description in RNAcentral is "lncRNA (ENSCLAG00000024763.1)". The record is from RNAcentral. Lineage: Eukaryota; Metazoa; Chordata; Mammalia; Rodentia; Chinchillidae.